This 253-nucleotide ribosomal RNA is filed under the name uncultured bacterium. RNAcentral describes it as "partial 16S ribosomal RNA". It matches the Rfam family "Bacterial small subunit ribosomal RNA", at positions 524 to 776 of the family's 1533-position model. The record is from RNAcentral.
UACGGAGGGUGCAAGCGUUGUCCGGAAUCAUUGGGCGUAAAGGGCGCGUAGGUGGCCCAGUCAGCGUGCGGUGAAAGCUCGGGGCUCAACCCCGGGUCGGCCGUGCGAACUACUGGGCUGGAGCACUGUAGAGGCAUGCGGAAUUCCGGGAGUAGCGGUGGAAUGCGUAGAAAUCAUUUGGAACGCCAAUGGUGAAAACAGCUCGCUGGGAAUGAUCUGACACUGAGACGCGAAAGCCAGGGGAGCGAACGGG